RNAcentral lists this ribosomal RNA (38 nucleotides) under Leptogium sp. Its description in RNAcentral is "partial 28S ribosomal RNA". The record is from RNAcentral. Lineage: Eukaryota; Fungi; Ascomycota; Lecanoromycetes; Peltigerales; Collemataceae.
UUGACCUCGGAUCGGGCAAGGAUACCCGCUGAACUUAA